GGAUUUUGGGGGCCACAGAAGUUUCACAGAAGACUUGCCUGGGACCUCUGGCUGCUCACUGCAUGGCAUGACGAUCACUGGGUUUCCAGCCUAGUGGUACCAGCUGAGGAUGGUGAGCAAGAAGAGCAGAGAAAAGGCUGAUCCCAAGCACAGUUACUUCAUUCUGCAUUACAGACUGAGUGACUUGGCUUGUACUCACGGAGUAAACCAGAGAACACUUCCUUCCAGGAGGAAUCUGUGCAAUCUCACCAUGUAUUUUACUUAAAGUCAUCUGGUAGAAGCAAGACUAUGGCCAAAGAGGGACUGACAGAAUCAGGCUGCAUUCACGGUGGUACAUUCCUCAGAAAUGCUCCCUACAUGGUCAGCUUUGCACCCUUCUGAAAAUGAUCUGCUUCCAAAAGGGGAUAUCAAAGACGCCAUAGCCUAGAACUUUGCGAUAGUAAAAAGGUACAUCUGAGUUUUCUGCUCGUUUUCUGUACUUUCUCAGCUACAGGAAUAGCAUCACUGACAAUUGUUGGAGUCCAUUAAAAUACGGAUGAUCCGUUCUGCGGACCAGCAGCUUCUCGUACACUGGAAGCUGUGAAAUACACAGCUCAGAACACCCAGAAAAUUCCUACUUACAUUCUUUUGUAACAGAGAUCAAAAGUAUGCAGCUUAUAGGAACAGAUAAGGAGAUACCACCAGCUUCUCAAUUUCCUGCAACACUGGAGAAUGCUUUUUUCCUUUUCCAUCUGAAGAAAUAUGUCUUCACAUCAAGGAAAGCACAGGGCACCCUGUUACUCCGGGCAAUGUGGGUUAAUAGAGCUAAACUAAUAGUCAAGAAGAGCAAGACUUUCCAUACUGCACCCCAUCUGGAAACACAGGUGCUGUGCCUUGAUUUUAAAAAUCCAUUUCAAAGCAAUUUAUAUGCAGAAUAUUCUACUGUUGGGACAACAGACUCCCUGGAUACUACUUGGAAUGUAUGCCCAUUUCCGAAGUAUAGCUUCAAGAAACUGAAGAGAAGGCAGAUCCGUGUGACUGCCCCAGCCAUACUGAAGGACCAGAACACGUUCCCCCAUGAGAGCAACUCCCCUUUGGCUGAGGAAAGACCAAAGGCAAAUCCACUUUGGUGCCAGAAUAAAGGAAUUUGGAGGAGCCUGGAUUCCCAGCAGCACAAAACUUCCGCAGCGCCAGAAGAUGACACAGCAACUUGCUGA
Molecule: long non-coding RNA, 1196 nt
Filed under: Chrysolophus pictus (golden pheasant)
Lineage: Eukaryota; Metazoa; Chordata; Aves; Galliformes; Phasianidae
Description: lncRNA (ENSCPIG00010005299.1)
Source: RNAcentral